RNAcentral lists this long non-coding RNA (1639 nucleotides) under Bos indicus x Bos taurus (hybrid cattle). RNAcentral's name for it is "lncRNA (ENSBIXG00000011301.1)". Lineage: Eukaryota; Metazoa; Chordata; Mammalia; Artiodactyla; Bovidae. The record is from RNAcentral.
CCGCCCACUGCUCGGCCACCCCUCCCCCCUUGAAUCCCGCCCUCCAGCUGUUCCAAAAACACUUGAGUUCCUUGAACGCACCAUGCCCUCUCCGCCUCUGCAGCUUUGCCAAGGGCUUGUCUUCUGUACGAGGUCCAGCUCUUCUAGGCAGUGGAGAGACGUGAGGACCUGGCCCCACGGACAGAAGUCUGGGACAAAAUGUUCUGUCGGAGCUUCAGAGCUCUUUCAGAUCUUUCGAGAGGUGAGAAUGGACUGGUCCGGCAUCUACAGGCCGCUCCCAGUGCAGCUGCCACGCCCCCUCUAGCCCAGUCCGCACACCUUCUAGGUCUGCUGCUCUGAGGCCCCGGGUGCCUCGUGUUGCUGCUGACAGAGGGCUGAGGGACCCCCUGUAAAACGUUCCAAAACAGGUCGGUGCUUGGUCUGCAUGAAUCCCCCCAGAAUUCCAGUGUUGAAAUCCUAAUGCCCGAAGUGAUGGGAUCAGGAGGUGAGGCCUUUGUGGGGGUGAUGAGGUGAUGAGGGCAGAGCCGUCAUGAGAUUAAUGUCCUUAUAAAAGAGGCUCCAGCAAGACCCCUCAGCCCCUUUUGCCUUGUGAGGACAGAAGGGGAAGUCUGCAGACUGGGUGUGGCCCUCAUACACCCCUUGUUGGCACGCCAACCUCAGAGCACCAGCCUCCAGGGCUGUGAGAAACACAUUUCUGUUGUAAAGAACCCAGUCCAUGGUAUUUUUAUUGUAACGGCCUGAGAUAGAAGUGAUCUUCCAGACAAACUGAAUUUUUCCUCCAGUCUGUGAGUUUGCAAGCCUUGAAUGGAGAAAGUCCGCUUACCUUCUCCCUGCCCAGGGAGCCACAAAGUGGGUUUUUCAUGAAAACUCUAGCAUGUGGGGGAGGGGGAAAUAGAGGGAAAAUGAGAGAGAGAAGUAGUCCUGCAAGUCUGACCCUUAACUUUUCACAUCUGACCUCCACCUGAACUCAAGCUAGAAUGUCUGCCAUUCCGGGGGCUCACGUGUUAUUUCUCUAGCAUGCUUUUUACUUUGGCUUCCUAGGUGGUACAGUGGUAAAGAAUCCGCCUGCCAAUGCAGGAGAGGCAAGAGACACUUGUUCGAUCCCUGGGUCUGGAAGGUCCUCUGGAGAAGGAAAUGGCAACCCACUCCAGUAUUCUUGCCUAGAAAAUUCCAUGGACAGAGGAGCCUGGUGGGCUACAGUCCAUGGGGUUGCAAAGAGUUGGACACGACUGUGCGACUGAGCACACUUUUUACUUGGAUGUGUUUCAGAAUUUGAAAACAUCCCACCAGAGCACUUUGGUUAGUUGUAUACUCUAUUUCUGCUUACCGGGUAAUGUGAUAAGCAUUGCUGUAAGAAGGCCGCUUAGGAUGAAGUAACUUUCUGGGAGUUGUGAGCCACCAGGAGGCAUUCCAGCAUCUAACGCACAGUAGGUGCUCUACAGUGCAUCGUCAAGAAAUGCUUUUUCCUGGUUGCGCUAAUUCUUCAUUCUCAUUGUGAAAAGCAGGCUAAAAUUAUUCUUUUAUCUCACUUUUUAAUUUCAGUAACAUCUAUUUAGUACCUAGUGUGAAAGACAUGAUGCUUGGUGUUAUGGAAAAUAUGAACAUGAAUAAAAUAAGGGGUGGGCACUAGAGGGAGCCA